AGACAAUCACUUGUGUCAAGAAUCGCGCGACUUAAAAGUGAAAAAGCGCAGUUAGAAAGACGUUUUGUGCACGUUGAUGGCAAUUAUGAAAGUACUAGCGCCGAUGAUAAGAAAUCAAUGUGGCGUGAAAUCGAGGCCGCGUUCAAAAAUCGCAUUGUGACCACAUUUUUAUUAGCGCUGUUAUUAACAUUGGUUAUAUCGAGCCGCGACAUUUUUUGGAGGACGUCAAUAAUCUGGUGAUCGAGCGAGUGCGAGAGACUGUUGAAAAACAUUGUAGUGUAAGGGUAAACACCGUGUUUAAUAGUAAAUUUGUUACAAACGAUAAACGCGCUAAUAAAAAUGUGGCCACUAAAAACUGUGAACUUGAUCGAACUUCAAAUAGGCGCGAGUGAUACGAUCAGCGCGUCAUCGAAGUCACGUUAGCGAUGCUUGACGAAUUUCAGGAACGUGAUAGCGGAUAGACAUUAUCAAUGUUGGGAAUCCUGAAUUUGACAUUAAAUAUAAAUAAAUACAAUCUUUUGCACGCGGGAUGUAAUAUCGUAUUACCAUGUGAAAUUAUGUCUAAAAGAACAGUGAUUAACGUGAAAUCUAAAGACAAUGCGUGUUUCGCGUGGCCAGUGGUGGCUGCUCUGCAUCCAGUCGAACGUAAUACGGAACGCACAUCUUCGCAUUAUAGAACGGUGUUGAACCUUACGAAUAUUGAAUUUCUAAUGUCUUUGAAGAACAUUGUAAAUUUUGAACAGUUAAACAACAUGUCGGAUAACGUGUACAGUGUCGAGAAGAAUGAAAAGGAUUUAAGCAUUCUUCCAAUUCGACUCACCGACAACAAGAAAGAGAAACACGUGAACCUAUUACAUGUGCAAGAUCCACAAGACAACAAUAUUGGACACUUUACAUGAAUCAAAAAUCUGUCUCGUCUCAUGAGCUCACAAUUAAGCAAAAAGCAGCAUAAAAAAUACAUUUGCAAUCGCUGUUUACAGUACUUCAAUUCUUGUGAAAAAUUGGAGGCUUACACAGUGGACUGCAAACAAAUGAACAACUGCGCCAUACGAGCGAGAAGGACAAGUAGCUCAAGUUUGGCAACUAUCGCAACAAAGAGCGCCUACCAUUCAUCGUGUACGGGGAUACCUAAAUCGCGGAUUUGGAGUGUGUUCUGCGCAAGAUAGAUUCAGCGAGGGAGGCAUCAUAUCAGCAUCACGAGCACAUUAACAGGCGAAACGGUGUGGAAAACAAUUACGCACACGUUGUUAACGUGUGACUCAAACACUCGGAAACUAUAGCGAUCUAUACUUGAAGACUAAUGUAUUGUUAUUGGCAGAUAUCUUUGAGAACUUUCGAAACAGUUGCGUCGCUAGUUACGGUCUCGAUUCCGCAUUUUAUUACACAUUGCCUAGUUACACGUGGGAUGCAAUGUAAAAUGUUAAAAAAUUAUGCGUGUAAAAUUUGAACUGCUCACCGACAUUGAUAUGGUAAUAUUAAACGUGGAAUACCUGGCGGUUUCAGCCAAUGUUCUGGCAGAUACGCGCAUGCCAAUAAUAAAUACAUGCAGUCAUAUGAUCCAUCGAAAUCGUCAUCGUGCUUAAUGUACUUUGAUGUAAAUAAUUUGUACGGAUAAGCGGUGUGUCAAUCGCUGCUCUACGGCAAAUUUUGAUGGGUUGAAGACGUCGUGAAAUUUAACGUAAGCGCGAUCGCUCCGGAUUCGUUCAUGGGUUAUAUUCUCGAGGUCAACUUGGAAUAUCCGUGACAUCUCCACAAUGCGCACGCUGAUUUACCGUUCUGUCGAAUGCGCGAUAAAACACCUGUCAAACUACAAGAUGAACUUCGCGCAACACUAUAUGAUAAAAAGCGAUACGUAAUUCAUUAUCGUAACUUGCGGUAAUGUACACGUCACGGUCUUCGCCUAACAAACUUGGAAAUAAUGAUCAGACACACAAACAAAUUGGAUAUAAACAAUAUGGACCAAGUUAUAGUCGUUAAACCUGGGUUCCCAAUUUAUGAACAUAAAUACGCCCGAUAAGUACAAGUACUAUGGUAUUGCAUUAAAAAGAUUAUUUAUCAUUGUGAAAAAAUAUAUCCAUAACAAAAUAGAAAGUUAUAUGAUACAGAGCAAUUAUUAUAUACAGCAAAACUAUUGUUACAUCCGGAGGAUUCCACAAUUUCCCUUUUCGCACUCCUUGCGUAAAAUAUGAAAUAUGAAACAAAGCAAGGAGAUUGUCCUUAAGGUUUAUAACACUCAAUUAUUA
Solenopsis invicta (red fire ant) is the source of this 2243-nucleotide long non-coding RNA. RefSeq lists it as uncharacterized. Lineage: Eukaryota; Metazoa; Arthropoda; Insecta; Hymenoptera; Formicidae. The record is from RefSeq and is a predicted model, not a curated record. The transcript is spliced from 3 exons.